RNAcentral lists this ribosomal RNA (466 nucleotides) under uncultured bacterium. RNAcentral describes it as "bacterial SSU rRNA". It matches the Rfam family "Bacterial small subunit ribosomal RNA", at positions 36 to 524 of the family's 1533-position model. The record is from RNAcentral.
UCGAGAACUGAGAAUGCUUACCAUGCAAGUCUUCUUGGACUUCGGUUUGGGUGGCGGACGGGUGAGUAACGCGUAAAGAACUUGCCUCACAGCUAGGGACAACAUUUGGAAACGAAUGCUAAUACCUGAUAUUAUUAUUUUAUGGCAUCAUAGGAUAAUGAAAGCUAUAAGCGCUGCGAGAGAGCUUUGCGUCCCAUUAGCUAGUUGGAGAGGUAACGGCUCACCAAGGCGAUGAUGGGUAGCCGGCCUGAGAGGGUGAACGGCCACAAGGGGACUGAGACACGGCCCUUACUCCUACGGGAGGCAGCAGUGGGGAAUAUUGGACAAUGGACCGAGAGUCUGAUCCAGCAAUUCUGUGUGCACGAUGAAGUUUUUCGGAAUGUAAAGUGCUUUCAGUUGGGAAGAAAAGAAUGACGGUACCAACAGAAGAAGUGACGGCUAAAUACGUGCCAGCAGCCGCGGUAAU